This is a transfer RNA of Fonsecaea erecta, 73 nucleotides long. It matches the Rfam family "tRNA". Rfam says of the family: Transfer RNA (tRNA) molecules are approximately 80 nucleotides in length. The record is from Rfam. Lineage: Eukaryota; Fungi; Ascomycota; Eurotiomycetes; Chaetothyriales; Herpotrichiellaceae.
GAGGCUUUAGUUUAACUGGUAAAACAUGCGACUUUUAAUCGCUAUAAUAAAGGAUCGAAUCCUUUAGGCCUUA